AUAUCCCUCUUAAUUUGUAUAUAUAUAUAUAUAUUUGGUUUGGGUAGACACUGGGACGUGCAUUAGGAGGAAAGAUUGGGAGGGCAAAGUGAGGAUAGGAUAUCGGAGUUACAACUGUACAUCUCUCGCCGUCAUCCUCUAAGGCGUUGGAUUCAUCUUUGAAGAUACCUGCUAUAUUGUCCCUGAUCGAGACGAGGUAGGUGCGUGCGUGCAUUAAUUCUCAUUUUAAAUUAAAUCAAUAAAUAAUUCCCAGAAAUUAAACAAGAUCCUGCAUUAAUAAUUCAUGUUAUUGUAUUGUUCAGGUAUGGGAGCUUCCUCCUAAAGCAGAGGCAGAGGUGAUGGCAUGGUCGGACACUAGACUAGCAUCUUGUGCAGUGUGAUAUUGUAGGCUUGACUAACUUCAGAUUGCAACUCGAUGCUUCUGUAUAAUUGAAUUUGUAUAUCGAGCAAGCUAGCUAGCAUUUGGUUAAUUGGUUGCUACUUGGAUAAAAAAGGAAAGAUUUGUCCCAUUUAUUUUGUCAUGUUCACCUUCAAUCGUCUUACUGUUACCCUAUAUUAAACUUUAUAAUAUAUCUACUACACAAAGAAAAUCAUUCAAACUAUCAUGUACACACUCCAAAUUCAAGAA
RNAcentral lists this long non-coding RNA (628 nucleotides) under Panax ginseng (ginseng). RNAcentral describes it as "long non-coding RNA (PGIN_LNC006632)". Lineage: Eukaryota; Viridiplantae; Streptophyta; Magnoliopsida; Apiales; Araliaceae. The record is from RNAcentral.